CGGCAACAGCUCAAAUUUGAAAUCUGGCGCAAGCCCGAAUUGUAAUUUGGAGAGGAUGCCUUGGAGUUGUCCCGGUCUAAGUUCCUUGGAACAGGACGUCACAGAGGGUGAGAAUCCCGUACGUGGCCGGACGACCUCUCCGUGUAAGGCUCCUUCGAC
Molecule: ribosomal RNA, 159 nt
Rfam family: Eukaryotic large subunit ribosomal RNA